GAAAGGCUUUUUCCUGGAAGAGGAUGGGAAGACCUGCACCAAGGGGGAGAGAGCAGCUCGCCUGUUUGAGACGUCAGACAACGUGAUGAAGGCUGGGGCAUGCUCUGCUACAUGUGAAGACUUCCACCACAUCAAGAUUACUGUCUUUCAGCUCAAACAAAAGAUUGCCAUGUUGCCCAGCAACGCUGAUGUUACCAAGCAGAUGACCAGUGAGAAGAGGCUGAUGUCACACUCCUUCCUACCCGGGCCGCCUGGUCUGCCCGGUCC
Long non-coding RNA from Salvelinus sp. IW2-2015, 267 nucleotides. RefSeq lists it as uncharacterized. The record is from RefSeq and is a predicted model, not a curated record. Lineage: Eukaryota; Metazoa; Chordata; Actinopteri; Salmoniformes; Salmonidae. The transcript has 3 exons.